UCCAGCAAUAACCCUGGAGGGAAAAAAAGUUGGAAUUAUACAAACAAGAUUAGCAUGGCUCUGUGCAAAGAUAACUAAAAAAUGCAUGAAUAUUUCAUAUUUCAA
Molecule: small nuclear RNA, 105 nt
Filed under: Erinaceus europaeus (western European hedgehog)
Lineage: Eukaryota; Metazoa; Chordata; Mammalia; Eulipotyphla; Erinaceidae
Source: RNAcentral